CCAAAGGCUCUUUUCAGAGCCACGCCAAAAACAAAACAAAACAAAA
Molecule: non-coding RNA, 46 nt
Organism: Mus musculus (house mouse)
Lineage: Eukaryota; Metazoa; Chordata; Mammalia; Rodentia; Muridae
Source: Rfam